This 484-nucleotide ribosomal RNA is filed under the name uncultured bacterium. RNAcentral describes it as "partial 16S ribosomal RNA". It matches the Rfam family "Bacterial small subunit ribosomal RNA", at positions 30 to 507 of the family's 1533-position model. The record is from RNAcentral.
AUUGAACGCUGGCGGCAGGCCUAACACAUGCAAGUCGAGCGGAUGAAGGGAGCUUUCUCCUGGAUUCAGCGGCGGACGGGUGAGUAAUUCCUAGGAAUCUACCUUGUAGUUAGGAAUAACGUCCGUAAACGGGCGCUAAUACCGCAUACGUCCUGAGGUAGAAAGUGGGGGAUCUUCGGACCUCGCGCUAUCAGAUGAGCCUAGGUCGGAUUAGCUAGUUGGUGGGGUAAAGGCCUACCAAGGCGACGAUCCGUAACUGGUCUGAGAGGAUGAUCAGUCACACUGGAACUGAGACACGGUCCAGACUCCUACGGGAGGCAGCAGUGGGGAAUCUUGGACAAUGGGCGAAAGCCUGAUGCAGCCACGCCGCGUGUGUGAAGAAGGUCUUCGGAUCGUAAAGCACUUUUAGUUGGGAGGAAGGACAGUAAGUGAAUCUCUUGCUGUUUUGACGUUACCAAAAGAAUAAGCCCCGGCUAACUUCGUG